Molecule: unclassified non-coding RNA, 337 nt
Filed under: soil metagenome
Description: partial contains 5.8S ribosomal RNA, internal transcribed spacer 2, and large subunit ribosomal RNA
Rfam family: 5.8S ribosomal RNA (bases 1-120)
Source: RNAcentral
GAUGAAGAACGUAGCGAAAUGCGAUAAGUAGUGUGAAUUGCAGAAUUCAGUGAAUCAUCGAAUCUUUGAACGCACAUUGCGCCCCUUGGUAUUCCAUGGGGCAUGCCUGUUCGAGCGUCAUUUGUACCUUCAAGCUCUGCUUGGUAUUGGGUGUUUGUCUCGCCUCUGCGUGUAGACUCGCCUUAAAACAAUUGGCAGCCGGCGUAUUGAUUUCGGAGCGCAGUACAUCUCGCGCUUUGCACUCAUAACGACGACGUCCAAAAGUACAUUUUUACACUCUUGACCUCGGAUCAGGUAGGGAUAUCCGCUGAACUUAAGCAUAUCAAUAAGCGGAGGA